GACGAGCGCUGGCGGCGUGCUUAACACAUGCAAGUCGAACGGAAAGGCCCUGCUUUUGUGGGGUGCUCGAGUGGCGAACGGGUGAGUAACACGUGAGUAACCUGCCCUUGACUUUGGGAUAACUUCAGGAAACUGGGGCUAAUACCGGAUAGGAGCUCCUGCUGCAUGGUGGGGGUUGGAAAGUUUCGGCGGUUGGGGAUGGACUCGCGGCUUAUCAGCCUGUUGGUGGGGUAGUGGCUUACCAAGGCUUUGACGGGUAGCCGGCCUGAGAGGGUGACCGGCCACAUUGGGACUGAGAUACGGCCCAGACUCCUACGGGAGGCAGCAGUGGGGAAUAUUGCACAAUGGGCGGAAGCCUGAUGCAGCAACGCCGCGUGCGGGAUGACGGCCUUCGGGUUGUAAACCGCUUUCGCCUGUGACGAAGCGUGAGUGACGGUAAUGGGUAAAGAAGCACCGGCUAACUACGUG
This 468-nucleotide ribosomal RNA is filed under the name uncultured bacterium. RNAcentral's name for it is "partial 16S ribosomal RNA". It matches the Rfam family "Bacterial small subunit ribosomal RNA", at positions 28 to 507 of the family's 1533-position model. The record is from RNAcentral.